AUUGAACGCUGGCGGCAUGCCUUACACAUGCAAGUCGAACGGUAACAGGUCUUCGGAUGCUGACGAGUGGCGAACGGGUGAGUAAUACAUCGGAACGUGCCCGAUCGUGGGGGAUAACGGAGCGAAAGCUUUGCUAAUACCGCAUACGAUCUACGGAUGAAAGCAGGGGACCGCAAGGCCUUGCGCGGACGGAGCGGCCGAUGGCAGAUUAGGUAGUUGGUGGGGUAAAGGCUCACCAAGCCAACGAUCUGUAGCUGGUCUGAGAGGACGACCAGCCACACUGGAACUGAGACACGGUCCAGACUCCUACGGGAGGCAGCAGUGGGGAAUUUUGGACAAUGGGCGCAAGCCUGAUCCAGCCAUUCCGCGUGCAGGAUGAAGGCCUUCGGGUUGUAAACUGCUUUUGUACGGAACGAAACGGUCUGCCCUAAUACGGUGGGCUAAUGACGGUACCGUAAGAAUAAGCACCGGCUAACUACGUG
RNAcentral lists this ribosomal RNA (482 nucleotides) under uncultured bacterium. Its description in RNAcentral is "bacterial SSU rRNA". It matches the Rfam family "Bacterial small subunit ribosomal RNA", at positions 30 to 507 of the family's 1533-position model. The record is from RNAcentral.